GACGAACGCUGGCGGCGUGCUUAACACAUGCAAGUCGAACGGAAAGGCCCUGCUUGCGGGGGGCGCGCGAGUGGCAAACGGGAGUGACACGCGGGAGUACCGUGCUGCACACUGGGGGAAGACUGGGGGACAGGGGGGCUAAUACGAGAGGAGAGAUCCUGCGGGAGGGGGGGGGUUGGAAAUUUUGGGCGGUGGGGGAUGGGCGGGCGGCUUAGCAGCUGGUGGGGGGGGUAGUGGCUUACCAAGGCUUUGACAGGUGGCCGGCCUGAGAGGGUGACCGGCCACAUUGGGACUGAGAUACGGCCCAGACGCCUCCGGGAGGCAGCAGUGGGGAAUAUUGCACAAUGGGCGGAAGCCUGAUGCAGCAACGCCGCGUGCGGGAUGACGGCCUUCGGGUUGUAAACCGCUUUCGCCUGUGACGAAGCGUGAGUGACGGUAAUGGGUAAAGAAGCACCGGCUAACUACGUG
This 468-nucleotide ribosomal RNA is filed under the name uncultured bacterium. Its description in RNAcentral is "partial 16S ribosomal RNA". It matches the Rfam family "Bacterial small subunit ribosomal RNA", at positions 28 to 507 of the family's 1533-position model. The record is from RNAcentral.